RNAcentral lists this ribosomal RNA (786 nucleotides) under uncultured organism. RNAcentral's name for it is "bacterial SSU rRNA". It matches the Rfam family "Bacterial small subunit ribosomal RNA", at positions 615 to 1414 of the family's 1533-position model. The record is from RNAcentral.
CGGAGAGGUCGUUCAAUACUGUCGAACUAGAGGACAUCAGAGGAGCAUGGAAUUUCCGGUGUAGCGGUAAAAUGCGCAGAUAUCGGAAGGAACACCAGUGGCGAAGGCGGUGCUCUGGGGUGGGCCUGACGCUGAGAGACGAAAGCUAGGGGAGCGAACAGGAUUAGAGACCCUGGUAGUCCUAGCCCUAAACGAUGGAUGCUAGGUGUGGGGCCGAGAAGGCUCUGUGCCGCAGUUAACGCGCUAAGCAUCCCGCCUGGGGAUUACGGCCGCAAGGCUAAAACUCAAACGAAUUGACGGGGCCCCGCACAAGCAGCGGAGCGUGUGGUUUAAUUCGAUGCUACACGAAGAACCUUACCUGGGUUUGACAUGUACGUGGUAGAGAAGCGAAAGCGGAUCGACCCUUCGGGGAGCGUACACAGGUGCUGCAUGGCUGUCGUCAGCUCGUGCCGUGAGGUGUCGGGUUAAGUCCCGUAACGAGCGCAACCCUUGCCCUUAGUUACAAGUGUCUAAGGGGACUGCCGGCGGUAAGCCGGAGGAAGGUGGGGAUGACGUCAAGUCAGCAUGGCCCUUAUAUCCAGGGCUACACACACGCUACAAUGGUCAGUACAAAGGGCAGCGAAGCCGCGAGGUGAAGCGAAUCCCAACAAAGCUGAUCUAAGUUCGGAUUGCAGGCUGCAACUCGCCUGCAUGAAGCUGGAGUUGCUAGUAACCGCGCGUCAGCUAUAGUGCGGUGAAUACGUUCCCGGGGCUUGUACACACCGCCCGUCACGUCAUGGGAGUCGG